CCCAGCAUGAGCAGGACCAGAAGGUGAGCCUGAAUGCUCACAGGCAAACUUGGGUGCUCUCGAUGCAUCAGGAUCCUUCAUUGGUGGCGUCAGCUCACCACUUCUCAGGUCCUCAGGGCACUUCCAUCAGGGGAGAAAUAAUCUCGGUCCUCCUCCUUCAGUAUGGAAGGAAACUGAACAAAAGAGUUAACUUUAUAUUGGCAAGUGCAGAUUCGCUAAAAACAGCAUGGGAGGUACCUAUGAAGAACUCAUACUCGUGAGGGAGAGGAAGACUGACGACUGUCCUAAUGCACUUUGUCACCCGGAGUUCAAAACACAAGGACUGGUCGUGGAUCUGUCUUUGCUGCAAUGACCUGGGGGCUUUGAUAUUGGGGUACUCUAGUUUCUUGAGACAGAUAUGAAUUUCUUUAAUGGGAGACUACAGAUAAGGAGAUAAUAGAGAAUCCAGAAAAGCACCAAUCUGAGGCUUGGUUAAUUACAUGCAUCUCCAAUGUUAUUCAAGUAUGCUCUGCUCAAGCUGGGAUAAUGAGAGUUCUCAAGCUACAUUUCUGGAAGUGUUCUCAACCUAGAACUUCUGUGAAGACAACCAUGAGACAGACAUUAUUUCAGGACAUGAAGAAUCCCAGAACGUAAUAAAGGGACUUUCAAAUUUAUAAAUUUCACGAGUUUAUGGAGCUUAGAGGUAAAAUCAAGGAAAACAAUGCAUGUUCCUAUAGAGAGCGCCUCAUGGAAACAAGGGAUACUUCUUUAGUCACAUGGGAUUACAUUUUCACCUGGAAGAACCAUUUUUUUCCUCUCUGUCUGUUUCAGGAGGAAGCCACGAGCUUUUUUAUUCACAAAAAGAGAGAGGAGGCAGAAGUGACUUCAGAGUGCACAUGGAGAGGACAGAGACAAGGACCCAGGACGUACAACUGGACGACAGUCAGCUGACAAAGAUGUCCUUGGACUAUGAUCCUCUGGAUCAGUUGUGAAAAGCCUUUGAUAACACUCUCCAAAUCUCUACAUUUCAGCGUUAUCUGCUUCCAGGACAGGAGACAUUCAGAACAAUGAAGUUUGUACACAUUACUUCAGUUCUCUGAAGAGGACCUUGCUCCUGGAACACCAAUCUGUAGUUCUCUUCUCGGCUCUGCUUCGGAUUUGGAAAUCACAAACGUAUGCUUUCCAACGGAAAAGAAGCCUGACUGAUAAACUUUGAGGACUGACAACAUAUGUGUCCACCCCUGCCUCUGACAGGCAUCCAGUGAUGUUACCCAAUUCCAGAAGAAACUAGAAUAACCGUCCGACUCAAAUUUCUUCACAAAUUUCAUUUGUAGACUUAAAGAUGCUUUUCUGGGCAUAGAAAUGUUGUUUCAUUCAGGAGAGCCAGCUAUUCUUUUUUAGGUUACAGUUCCUUUGUGUCUCCCUGCCUUGUCUUUUCUUUAGCUUGAGGACAGGAAGACGCGUGACUGCCCAUCCUCCAGAGCUGUGGUGGGAGUCACUGUAGCUGGCUGCCAUGAGACUUUAGUCAUAUUUAGGCUAAGGUCAAUGACUUGCUCCUGCUAAAAAGACCAAUCUGGUUAUGUUUUCUUGUCAAUGCCUGCAAAUCCUAAAGCAAUAACUUAGACUGCAUCCCUUUUCAAAAUAUGUGUGUGCUACAGGGUAGUUAUUUGGUAUUUCCCUCAAGAUGGAUUUUGAUGAAGCAGGAAGAGCAAUAGCAUUUAAUAACACACUGCACUCCCAAAUUGGGAAAUCCAGGAGAACGGAAAUGAGGUAGGUUGAGAAGGAUAUUUUGUCCAGUGCAACCAGUGUAUAAAAAUGGCAAAGGAAUGCAGUAAUGUGGGACACUGGCCACAAAUCUGGAAGGCCAGUUUGAGACGCUCAGAAUUAAAGCUUUCCAUUUUGGAUUUGGUCCAUUAAGUUAGGCACACCUUUCCUCAAGGUUUAUAUUUUCCUUUUAAUUCAGGCUUAGGUCUGCAAAUAUAACACUAAGGUGAAACAGAUUGGUCAUAUGAAAGGUAGACAUUAAGAACAAGGAAGCACCUUUGUUACUAUGUUACAAACAAACCUACAAAGAGCACGGAACCUUGCUUCAAAUUUAUACUUAUAUUUUCCUUUUUUGUGGGGUUCUAAUUCUGGAGCAAAACUUCCAAUCUAAGCAACAGCUCAGGCAAAUCUGGUAGACAAACUUCUGGGCUAUGCUGACCCUCAAGAAAAAAAAAUGUAAUUUUAUUCUUGUCUCCAUUUUGUGUUUGAAAUGAAAAUGGAAACUCAUCUGUGUUAAAGAGGUGGUGAGCCAUUGGAUCUAUCACGGACUUCUAGUAAAAUGCAGGAUUCUUGUG
Molecule: long non-coding RNA, 2318 nt
Filed under: Mus musculus (house mouse)
Lineage: Eukaryota; Metazoa; Chordata; Mammalia; Rodentia; Muridae
Description: RIKEN cDNA 9230109A22 gene
Source: RNAcentral